RNAcentral lists this ribosomal RNA (612 nucleotides) under uncultured bacterium. RNAcentral's name for it is "bacterial SSU rRNA". It matches the Rfam family "Bacterial small subunit ribosomal RNA", at positions 24 to 612 of the family's 1533-position model. The record is from RNAcentral.
UCAGAACGAACGCUGGCGGCGUGCUUAACACAUGCAAGUCGAACGCGAAAGCUUCCUUCGGGAAGCGAGUAGAGUGGCGCACGGGUGAGUAACACGUGGAUAAUCUGCCCGACGAUCUGGGAUAACAUUCCGAAAGGAGUGCUAAUACCGGAUAAGCCCACAGGCUCUUCGGAGUUUGCGGGAAAAGGUGGGGACCUUCGGGCCUACCGUCGUCGGAUGAGUCCGCGUCCCAUUAGCUAGUUGGCGGGGUAAUGGCCCACCAAGGCGACGAUGGGUAGCUGGUCUGAGAGGAUGGUCAGCCACACUGGAACUGAGACACGGUCCAGACUCCUACGGGAGGCAGCAGUGGGGAAUUUUGCGCAAUGGGGGAAACCCUGACGCAGCAACGCCGCGUGAGUGAUGAAGGCUUUCGGGUCGUAAAGCUCUGUCAGAGGGGAAGAAACUCUUGUGGUCGAACAGGUCACAGGAUUGACGGUACCCUCAAAGGAAGCACCGGCUAACUCCGUGCCAGCAGCCGCGGUAAUACGGAGGGUGCGAGCGUUGUUCGGAAUUAUUGGGCGUAAAGCGCGUGCAGGCGGCCUGUUAAGUCUGAUGUGAAAGCCCGGGGCUCAA